Capsicum annuum is the source of this 1399-nucleotide long non-coding RNA. RefSeq lists it as uncharacterized. The transcript has 6 exons. The record is from RefSeq and is a predicted model, not a curated record. NCBI's taxonomy places the organism in Eukaryota, Viridiplantae, Streptophyta, Magnoliopsida, Solanales, Solanaceae.
UGUACGCAUGAACAUGCUCUCACACAAAAUUCUUAUCUCACUUUCAAUUUAACCACUGAAAAAAGGACAAUUCAAUUUACCGAUCUUCUUGAUUGCUGAGAUCCUUCUUCUCCUCAGAUUGAUGGAGAGAUCACAGCAGCUAGAGAAGCUCUUCUUCAAGUGACAUCGAGACUUCACAUUCAUAACCAUGGUGCAAAUAAACCCAACAUGAUAGCUGAUAUAUGUUGCGGUAACAACCUAAGGACAUCCUCCGGCAAAGGAAAGAAUAUAAUUAACCACUUCUCUGUAUUUGAAAUUGGUUCAACAUCAACUAUCUUCAAUGAAUAGCUUGUUGUUCGCUUACCCAGAUAAACAACUCCAACAAUAUAAAGAUGUCUUCUAUCACCACAAAAGGUUCAACCUCAAGUGCCUCCACUAGACGGCAUAAUUCAGCAACAUCAAAUGUCACCAAAAAAGGUAGAUUAUUUCAACAAUACUCGGUUGAUCAAUUCAUAAAAGUCGAAAUUCAAAGGUUAGAUUUUGCAUCCUUUAAUCAAGAUUUAUUUAGAAUUGAUAUGCUACAAGGACUUAUCGAGAUUCUAAGACUUGGUGAAAGAGAAGCUUCUAAGAUAGGAAAAAAAAGAUAUCUCCCUGCAAGUUUUAUAGGCGGUCCGAGAGAUAUGCGUCGUCGUUAUUAUGGAUGCUAUCGCAUUAGUUCAAUAUUUUGAAAAACCUGAUAUAUUCCUUAAUAUGACGUGUAAUCCCUCUUGGCCAGAAAUAAAAGAACAUUUAUUGUCAACAGAUGAAGUUCAAAAUAAACCUGAUUUAAUUAGCCGCGUGUUCAAAGCAAACGUUGAAGAAAUAAAGACCGAUAUACUAAAACAAAAUAUUUUUGGAAAAGUUACAGCUUUUAUUUACAUUAUAGACUUUCUAAUUCUGGGUCUUCCCCAUGCACAUUUUCUUAUUAUACUUGCUGAUGCUUAUAAAUUACUAACACCUGAAGCCUAUGCCAAAUUUGUUUGUGCAGAGCUUCCUGAUGCUAAUGUAUAUCCUUACUUAUAUAUGCUUGUUAUCAAACAUAUGAUGCAUGACCCUUGUGGUCAUUUGAAUCCUAUAAAUUCAUGUAUGAAAAAAAGGAAAGUGUAAAUUUAAGUACUCGAAAAGCUUUGCUAAUGAAACGACAAAAGAAAAUAAUUCAUCCCCAAUUUAUAGAAGACAAAUAGAAUGUUUGGGAUUGCUUUAUUUUCCAAAAUAAGCACUUAUUUUAAAAAAAAAUACUUUUUUUUUUUAAAAAAAGAAGGGUGUUUGGUAAACUUGCAAAAGUACUUUUAAAAAUAAGUAGAAGCAGUUUUUCUUGCUUCUGGGAAGAAGCAGAAAAUUUUUGCUUCUAAAAAAAAUCAGAAGCAGAAACAGAAAAUUA